RNAcentral lists this ribosomal RNA (373 nucleotides) under uncultured bacterium. Its description in RNAcentral is "bacterial SSU rRNA". It matches the Rfam family "Bacterial small subunit ribosomal RNA", at positions 523 to 898 of the family's 1533-position model. The record is from RNAcentral.
AUACGGAGGGUGCAAGCGUUAUCCGGAUUCACUGGGUUUAAAGGGUGCGUAGGCGGGCAAUUAAGUCCGUGGUGAAAUACCUGAGCUUAACUUGGGAACUGCCAUGGAUACUAUUUGUCUUGAAUGUCGUGGAGGUUAGCGGAAUAUGUCAUGUAGCGGUGAAGUGCUUAGAUAUGACAUAGAACACCUAUUGCGAAGGCAGCUAACUACGCGAAUAUUGACGCUGAGGCACGAAAGCGUGGGGAUCAAACAGGAUUAGAUACCCUGGUAGUCCACGCCCUAAACGAUGAUUACUCGACAUUGGCGAUACACAGUCAGUGUCUGAGCGAAAGCAUUAAGUAAUCCACCUGGGAAGUACGACCGCAAGGUUGAA